UACGGGGGGGCAAGCGUUGUUCGGAAUUACUGGGCGUAAAGGGCUCGUAGGCGGCCAACUAAGUCGGACGUGAAAUCCCUCGGCUUAACCGGGGAACUGCGUCCGAUACUGGAUGGCUUGAGGUUGGGAGAGGGAUGCGGAAUUCCAGGUGUAGCGGUGAAAUGCGUAGAUAUCUGGAGGAACACCGGUGGCGAAGGCGGCAUCCUGGACCAAUUCUGACGCUGAGGAGCGAAAGCCAGGGGAGCAAACGGG
This 252-nucleotide ribosomal RNA is filed under the name uncultured bacterium. RNAcentral's name for it is "partial 16S ribosomal RNA". It matches the Rfam family "Bacterial small subunit ribosomal RNA", at positions 524 to 776 of the family's 1533-position model. The record is from RNAcentral.